UACGUAGGUGGCAAGCGUUGUCCGGAAUUAUUGGGCGUAAAGAGCGCGCAGGCGGUCGUUCAAGUCGAGUGUGAAAGCCCCCGGCUCAACUGGGGAGGGUCACUCGAUACUGAUCGACUUGAAGGCAGGAGAGGGAAGCGGAAUUCCCGGUGUAGUGGUGAAAUGCGCAGAUAUCGGGAGGAACACCAGUAGCGAAGGCGGCUCGCUGGGCCAUUCCUGACGCUGAGACGCGAAAGCUAGGGGAGCGAACAGG
RNAcentral lists this ribosomal RNA (253 nucleotides) under uncultured bacterium. RNAcentral's name for it is "partial 16S ribosomal RNA". It matches the Rfam family "Bacterial small subunit ribosomal RNA", at positions 524 to 776 of the family's 1533-position model. The record is from RNAcentral.